Molecule: long non-coding RNA, 5054 nt
Organism: Sabethes cyaneus
Lineage: Eukaryota; Metazoa; Arthropoda; Insecta; Diptera; Culicidae
Exons: 3
Source: RefSeq, a predicted model, not a curated record
AAACAAAACAAAAAGUUUGUUCCAAUACGUUGUGUAGUUUCUGAGAAAAAGGUUCAUAAAGUUUGAAAACCAUAGUUUUCCAGGAGCGGCGUUUUAUUCCGCCGAAGUUGUUGCCCCGUAAAUGUAUGUCACCAGCGACCGACAUGAACUCAUCUAUCACUUCUAGUUUGUCGCUGUCGAUGGUUACCGUUCGUGAGAGGCGUAUAUGAUUCGCAAGAUGCUUACUUACUUUACUUUAGUGGCAACGGUCCGUUACCGAUCCUGCGCCGAACGAAUUAUGGUCCUCCAGUACCGUCGGUCCUGGGCUGCCGUUUUCCAAUCCCCACGAACACCAGCUGAACGGGCAUCAUCUUCGACAGCACACACCCACCGAGUGCUGGGUCUGCCUCGAAGUCUACGGCCUCUUCCUGGUUCUCUGCUGAAAAUAGUUUUGGCUACUCUUUCAUCGGGAAUUCUGGCCACGUGUCCAGCCCACCGCAGCCUGCCACAUUGCACUACCUACAUUUACGCGUACAUUGUACAUGCUCAAAACGUACAUUUUACGCUCAAAAACCCCAAGCACUCGCCGGUCAGCUUCCUUUAGCGUCCAUGAUUCGUGUCCGUAAAGGACCACCGGGAGGAUUAGUGUUCUGUAGAGCGCCAGUUUUGUGCGAAUUUGCAAAGUACGGGGCUUCAGCUGGCUACGUAAUCCGUAGAAAGCCCGAUUCGCGGCUGCAGCUCGUCGUUUCACUUCGCGGCUUACAUCGUUGUCACAUGUAACGAGUGUACCAAGGUAUAUGACUUCCUUCACUACUUCAUAGCGUUCCCCAUCUAACUCCACCUCGGUACCAAGUACUAACACCACUUGGGCUCCAGCGUUCCCUACCAGGAACCAUGUACUUCGUUUUGGCGGUGUUAAUGGUAAGUCCCAAUCUCGCCGCUUCCCUUUUAAAGGGCCUGAAGGCCUCUUCCACUGCUCUACGGUUGAUUCCGAUGAUAUCGACGUCAUCUGCAAAACCAAGAAGCAGGUGAGAUUUCGUGAUGAUAGUUCCAUAUCUUUCCACGCUUGCCCUUCGUAAUGCACCUUCCAAGGCAAUGUUGAAUAGCAGGUUAGAGAGUGCAUCCCCUUGCUUCAGUCCAUCCAACGUCACGAAAGCAGCUGAGGUUUCACCCGCUAUUCUAACGCAUGAUUUGAAUCCGUCCAGCGUCGCACGAAUCAGCGUAACUAGUUUCGUCGGAAAACCAUGCUCUAGCAUUAUCUGCCACAGCUCAUUCCGUUUAACUGAAUCGUACGCCGCUUUAAAGUCCACAAACAGAUGGUGUGGCUGCAAGUUGUACUCCCGGAACUUGUCUAGCAACUGACGCAGUGUAAACAUCUGAUCCGUCGUGGAGCGACCCUCACGAAAACCAGCUUGGUAUUCGCCGACGAAGAACUCCGCUAACGGUCUCAGUCUGCAGAACAGGAUACGAGAAUGCACCUUGUAGGCAGAAUUGAGCAAUGUAAUUCCUCGAUAGUUUUUACACUCCAGUCGAUGUCCCUUUUUGAAAAUUGGGCAAAUGAGGCCAUCCAACAACUCCUCCGGUAUUUGUUCUUCCUCCCAGAUCCUGACAAUGAUCCGGUGGAUUGCUUCGUACAGCCGCUCGCUCCCCGCUUUUAGAAGUUCAGCCAGGAUACCGUCCUUCCCGGCAGCCUUACCGUUUUUCAGCUCACUGAUUGCCUUUUUGACCUCCUCCUUUGUGGGUGGCUCCACAGCUUGACCAUCGCUUACAAUUCCUAUCCUGUCCCUGCUGAUCUCCGCAUUUACCUCUCCAUUCAACAGUAUCUGAAAGUGCUUCUUCCACCUGGCUGCUACCGCCGUUUUGUCGCCAGCACUAUCAUUGCAUAUCACAGGCAUGGCAAAAUUCCUGCAUCUCACAGUUUUAUAGAAACUCAGUGUGUCGUUGCUGGCGCAUCGCUCCUCUGUGCCGACGAGCACGUGCUCCUCGUACUCGCGUUUCUUUAGACGAUGGAUUCUUUUUUCCGCAGCUCUAGUCUUUCAGUACUUCUCUCUGUAUUGACGCGUAGCCGCAGUGAGCAUGUGACUCCUGGCCUGGUUUUUUUCAUCUGUCACUCUCUGGCAUUCGGCAUCAAACCAGCUGUUACGCUGUCUUCCACGCGUCGUGCCUAUCACCUCUCUCGCAACUGUUUCGAAGGCACCGUGGAUGUUCCUCCACAGCCCAUUUAUAUCUUUUCCUGCUACCUGCUGUUCUGCGAUUCGUUAGUCAAGCUUCCUGGCGUACUCCACUGCUACGCCGUCUGCCGUUAACCGCUGGAUGUUGAAACGCUGCGUCCUCUUAGUGCGAGCUUUCGCCGUGUUCGACAGCCUUGCGCGAAUCUUACUCACCACGAGGUCAGAGUCGAUAUUUGGUCCCCGAAAAGACCGUACAUCGAUAACAUCCGAAAAGUGUCGUCCGUCAAUUAAGACAUGAACGAUCUGAGAGGUAGAGUCUCCAUUUGGAUGCCUCCAGGUGUGUUUUCGAAUAUUCAAACGAGUAAAGUAGGUGCUACAGAUGACCAUUCCUCUGGCCGCGGCAAAAUUCUAUUGCUUCGUAUUACUCCAGGAGGGAGCAUGUGUCUACGCACUCCACCUAUCCUGGCUGCUAUAUGCCCACAGAACAGAAAGGGGAGGUAAAAAUCCAAACAGGUACAUGCUACUUUCUACAGAUAUUAGCGAACCUGGCGGUAGCGAGUCACUUUCCAUACGUCGGUUCAUGCGGUCUAGACCUGGCCUGCCUCACCCAGGGACUGUUCCACCUGUACUUCGAGCUCUGGAUCGUUGGGUUACUCGAAGAGCAUUUCCCCAGCCUGGGUGCGGCGGGGUUUUACUAGGUUGGUCCCCAGCUCUUGCAGCAUGAGAUCAGCCUUCACCUUACAAAGUAGAUCGGCCUACGACAAUUGACCUGUCAGCUUUCAACGCAUCGCCCCUGUGGGCCCGCUUCGGCUUUUACUUUGCAGUUGCAGCCUCCCUCAGUUUUUGGGUAGGCGGUUUGCGCCUAACUACCUGCCAUUCGUCUUCAGCCAGGACCUAUUCCGUCUCUUUGCUGGUAGACGCGCAGUUGAUACGCUGCCUCUUUACUACCAACGUCGGCCCGCUGUCAGGCGUCGCCGCUUGCGCAGUGGUAGAAAUGGACAUUCGACCACGAGUUGAUGAACGAGUACAACUCGUCCACCAAUCUUUUUGCGUCCUCCAGCUUGCUACUGGCUGGAGGUAGUUUUACUUCCGCAACAAAGGUUUUGCCACAUCCUCGGUCGACGGCAACCUUGGUUGUUUUUACCACCUUUUGUUUGUUUUCUACCUUUUUGGCUAGCAGCGGCAGCCACCUGCAGUCUAACCGGGGUGUUAGACAACGGUGGAGUCGAGUGCUUGGGCAGCGGUCCCGAUUCCGUGGGCUAUCUUUCUUCGUUGGCGGUGAACGCGCCAACUUGCUACUUUUGAUAAUGACUUCAUUUUUACCUCCAGUAACGCUCUCGGUCGAAAUCACGUUUUGAAUAUGAUGUUUAUUCAUAUUCUAGGCUGCUAUCUCUGCUAGUGUGUAGUUGCCUGUAUGAUCCCAAGGUUAUCUAUGCAAACAGGGAAGCCAUGCGAGGACUGUCCCGCUAUCCAUCAUGGGGAUAUGGUACAGAGCCAGAUCAGCGCUAGUCAGUAAUGUAUUAUGUGAGCCUACAACCACCGACUUUGACGUGCGUGACGAGCUUCGAACGUAUCUAGAGAUCAGCCACGGUUUUAGUGGGACGGAAGCCAGCCGCACCAGUAGUCUACUUGCCGUUUCGGGAAAGUGUCACCCUUCCUUACCUAAGGUAGUAGAAUAGCACAACUGUCAGCCCUAUAACGUCUUAUCCGAUCGUAUCCUGCCAUUCCAGUAUGCCAUAAUUAGGCACUCCCGACCUGGCUUUUGGGUUUAAAGUCCUGUGCUGCAACAGGGCACUAUGGCAUCUGCAACUGGCUUAUGGAACUUGAGCUACUACUUGCGAGAUGACGCAUGGAAACUUCACCGAUUAUCAUUUUGACUCUCUAUGAGUCAACUGAGUCUCUCGUCGCGAAUUUCUGGAUUCUCUUUCCCUUAGUGGUAAGCUGGCAACCACCUUCUUUAACCAGUUCGAGGUUUCCUGGACUUUACAAAAAGAACCAGGUACCCGGACUUAUCCAUUGAAUCCAGCUGAGCCGUGCUCAGUUCAGUAUACUAAGAUAGUCCUCAGAGAGGAUCCCAAUUCUGAUCUGACCUACGGCCUCCCUGUAAGAGUCAGAAGAUGCUUUUAGGUGCUUCACUCCUCUAGGCCCUCCUCCACGAGUGCAAUGGGAGAUACGGAUACGGAUUUUUCCAGUUGUGGCACUCCAUGGCCAUGAAGCGGGGAAGAGAGCGACCGUCGCGCUAUCGGUAUCUUUGAGCGCAAGCUCUUACGGUCAACUUUUGAUGGUAAACUUAAGGAUGACGUGUGAUGACAUACUACAAUGGGCUGGCCACGUAGCAAGAAUGGCGGAUGCACGAACAACAAAGCAGAGAAUCUCGAAGAGAUUGACGACUUCUAGGCAGACCCCGCACCCAUUGGAUGCGCGCUGUCUACAAGGUUGCUUAAGCAGCGGACGCUCGGGGCGAUUGGAAAAUAGCAGCUCAGCUCGAUUAAUUCUGAACUUUUACUAUUUGGAAUAGCUAGUUAAUUUGCCUUUUCAUGCCAGAUUUAAAUUUAAUCAUCAACUAACAAAUGGAAUAGCCUUGCAAACCUAAAUAAAAUUUGAUCAUUUUUUUAAAACUCGCCUAAUAAGCUAGAAUAAUGGAGAGAUUUGUCAUCUGCUAAGUACAUUCUCAGCUUCUCCAAUAAUAGUUUAUUGAAGUAUAAUGCUUAACCAUCUAAAUACAACAAGAAAUUCAUUUGUUAGGAAAAGUACAAUUGCUGCUAGCCGAUGCUAAGACUACUAUUUCACCGAUAUUUUCAACAAAUAUACAGGAAUUGGUGCAGCUCAAAUAUGCAUUCAUUACAGAGUCGUUAAAGAGUCUCAAAUUUUUAACCACUAUUAUAUUAAAAUUAAAAUAAUAUU